UCUGAGGGUCCAGGGUUCAAGUCCCUG
RNAcentral lists this non-coding RNA (27 nucleotides) under Bos taurus (domestic cattle). The record is from RNAcentral. RNAcentral also lists the same sequence under 1 other name. Lineage: Eukaryota; Metazoa; Chordata; Mammalia; Artiodactyla; Bovidae.